Molecule: long non-coding RNA, 2024 nt
Organism: Sturnus vulgaris (Common starling)
Lineage: Eukaryota; Metazoa; Chordata; Aves; Passeriformes; Sturnidae
Source: RefSeq, a predicted model, not a curated record
UGAUGAGAGCCAUUUUUCUUGGCAGGCACAUCUUGCAAAAUCAAUGAGGAUUUUUGUGCUGUAGUGUUGAGAUGAAGAGAUGAAGCGUGAAGAAAAUGGGAGGAUGAGAUUCAGAAUAUUAAUAAGGAAACUCCUGCUGCAGCUCUUUGCUCAGGUGUUGAGAUCAGCUGGUGGAGCUGCCUUUGCUUCCAUCUGGAGAACCGAGGCAUUUUACAUGCAGGGAGGCUCACAGCAACAAGUCUGCAGCUGCUCAGGAGAGCUGCUGACCUCCACUGCUGCCUUCUGGAAGUUUGUGUGUGCCAAUGGCCCUGAGGGAGACCCUGAGCACCCUGUGCUUGGAAAGAGGAGGUGCAGAGGCAACACCCAGAAAUGUCUGAGCUCUGCAGAGGAUUGGAGCAGAGGAUGUGUAGGAGUUCACACUACAUGUGGCAAGUGCCCCUUAAGGACCAGAGAGUGAUCAGAACUCACCUCAAAAAUAUUCUGGAUUGAUUCCCUGCUGUUGGCUCCUUGUGAAGUGGCAGUUCAGGCUGAGAGAACUUUAUUCCCGUGGUGCUGGAGCCUUUGGUCAGUGCAGGUGGGGAAUGAUUGUCCAAAUUGGCUCCUUCAGCUCCUUGGCAUCCUCCUGCACGUGCCCUCAGCUCAUGGCCAGGGAAUUUUGAAAAUUAACUGGGUUUUAAUUCCAACCAGAAAUACACACUUUGGACUGAAAUCAAAUCUGGAAAAACACGUCAGGAAAAGCCAAAACCUCAGGCUCUGUGUGUGAUCAUAAAACUUUUUGCUGCAGCUUCUAAUCAGGAAGAGAUCACCUAAUAAAAACAGCGCUUUGGAAGGGAGAACAAUUCAAUACUGAACACGAGUGAGGAGCCCUAACUAGCGAUGAAGACUGCUCCGCUCGGGGAAGAUUUGUUGCUGUUGGUAAAAGCCUGAAGAGGCUAUUUGCAGCCAGGAACGAUUCCGCAGCGCUGAUGGAAUGAGUGCUGUUUCUGUCCUUGGGGCAGGUGCUGAUGGAAGGGCUGCUUUCAGGUUUUGUGCUCUCUCUGCCUUCCCUGGUGCUGCUGCAGAGGUUUUGUUGCAGGUAAGCCCCUGGCUGUCAGCUCAGGCACAGGAUUUCUUCCCGUUUAAUGCCUCGCUUCCACACGAGGUUGCACACGGGGUUCUGUAGAAUUCCUCUCCUUUCAUCUUUUGAACCACGUUCUAAAACAGGCAGCAGAAAUUUCCUAGAAAGUUUUGACCUAAUUUUUUGUCCUAUGAAAAGAAAGGUUGGUGUUCCACCCAGCUGCUCCGAGGCAGGGCAGGGGCAGCAGCCUUUUCCCGCAUCCCUGGAGCACGGAUGUUGUGCUCCAAACACAGCACUGUGGCUCCAGGGGCUUGGCUCUCUCAUCUCCCCACGUUUCCAGCAGUGUUUCUCUACCUGCAGCAGAUCCUUUUGCCUCUUUAUCAAAACAUCUUUCUCUAAAGAUGGGGUUUCUGUGUGAGCUGGACACGACAGCGCAUGGGCAAAGUAUUUUUGGUACAAAGCACCCGAGCCUUGCAGCUGCUAUUGUUGUACUCUACAGACACCUGAAAAUCAGAGGGAAACACUGCACUUGUCCUGCAGAGAUCAGUUGCUAGCAGGGACUUUAAAAGUGAGUUCAGUCUGAUCGCUGCAUUUUUGAGCUUUACAGAAUAACUAAUUUCACUUGACAAUUGGGAGGUGAGGUCAGGGUAUUUAGGUCUACAAUUAGGAGACCUGAAGGUGCUUGCACUGUCUCUGGGAAGGAUGUGGCUAAAAAGCAAGUCUGAAAUUCUAACUGUAUUCUCCUUGCCUGCCCUUUUUGGUCCUACAAUUUUGGUCCUAGAAUCCAGACACUGUGCCUGCUACAGCUGGAGAUGCCCUGGCAGCUGGAGAGGCAGAGGAUAAAGGGGAGGCAGAGGUGCUGAGCCCAUGCUGUCUGCAUGUUUGUGUGUGCACUUGGGAGAGAAGCAGGAAUCUAAAAGGAAGAGCUGGCCUGGACGUUUUGGGUGGUGGCUGAAGUGCUGGGACA